RNAcentral lists this ribosomal RNA (254 nucleotides) under uncultured bacterium. RNAcentral describes it as "partial 16S ribosomal RNA". It matches the Rfam family "Bacterial small subunit ribosomal RNA", at positions 524 to 776 of the family's 1533-position model. The record is from RNAcentral.
UACGUAGGUGGCAAGUGUUAUCCGGAAUUAUUGGGCGUAAAGGAUGCGUAGACUGUAUAAUAAGUCAAUGGUGGAAGUCAGGCUCAACCUGAAAAAAGCUGUUGAUACUGUUAUGCUAGAGUGCAGGAGAGGUUGAUGGAAUUCCAUGUGGAGCGGUGAAAUGCUUAGAUAUAUGGAGGAACACCAAUAAAGGCGAAGGCAGUCAACUAUUCUGACACUGACGUUGAGGCAUGAAAGCGUGGGGAGCAAAUAGG